Cuculus canorus (common cuckoo) is the source of this 2707-nucleotide long non-coding RNA. RefSeq lists it as uncharacterized. The record is from RefSeq and is a predicted model, not a curated record. The transcript has 5 exons. NCBI's taxonomy places the organism in Eukaryota, Metazoa, Chordata, Aves, Cuculiformes, Cuculidae.
CGACGCCGAGGAGAACGCCUUGCGGGGCGCCUCGCUGGGGUCGUCGGGGCGCUCCGGGAGGCAGACGGCUCGCAGCUUGCGCAGGGACGAGCCAGGCUCGCCAUAAGGGUCCUCGAAGUCGCGGUCCUUCUGCGCGCGGCUAAAGAAGACCAACUCUCAGUUUGUCCUUGUAUGGGAGGUGCUCCAGCCCUCUGAUCAUCUUUGUAGCCCUCCUCUGGACCUGUUCCAACACCUCCAUAUCCUUCUUAUAUUGAGGGUUCCAGAACUGGACACAGUACUCCAGGUAAUUACAAAUUAAUGAACGUCAGCAACCCUAGCAUGGAUACCAUGGGCACGCAGCUAUUAGUCUCUUUUGGAGGCAGUGCUGAGGAGUCAUGUGCCAGAUGGAGACAGUUGUCCAUAGGACUAAUGAUCCAAAAUACCUGUGCUCUUUGUAGUAGUGGCAGGAAAGCUUCUGUUUGCCGGUGAACCAGCCCCUUCUUCAGCCGCUGGGUGUCACUCGGCUGUAAACUGAAGAAAUGCAAACCGUAGGGGCAGGAUGCACACAGGAGCAGCCGGCGGCUUCGCAGCUUUCUUGAUCCCAGAAUAAUGUCAUAACAUCUGUUCUCAGGAAGGCUUUGGGCUUUGCAGGACGUUGAGAAGAGGAAGGUAACUGGAGCUGCACCUAAGAACUUCACGAACCAGUUUGCAUCAUGUCUGAUGGUGUGGGGAGGGGCCCUGGCCUGCAGCUGGGAUGGUGAUUAGUUUCAGUUCAGUUUCAACAAUUUUAAAAUAACCAAAAGUACGAUUCCACUCUCUUUUGGACAGAGCUGAAUCAGGAGAAACUGAAGCUAAUGAAAAAAGCAAAAUGAAAAGGACAAGCACAACUCAACAAGGACUCAAGAGACACAAAAGAGCCAAAGCUCAAGUAUCGAGGUCCACAGUUUUGUGUUGACCCUGUCCUGCUAAGUGCUUUCUUCCACAUUUGGACUUCAUGGACAGACACUGACAGAAUAUAGUUUGCCAUCUGAUACAGUUGCACAGGGAAGCUCUCUUUAAACAAGCAAGCAAACGAAAUGCACUCAACCAACAAGAACAACUUCCAUCACUGUAAAUCUUUUUGUCUCUUAAACUUAGGAAAUCUUAGAAUAGGAAAAAUACCACUGCACAUUGCCCUCCUGAGCAGAAUUUCUCUCUGCCUUCUUUUCCACUUGGUACUUACUUACAAACAAGAAAGAAGAAGAAAGCAAAGUUGGAAGGAUGCUUCUCCCUCCGGCUGCAUGUUAAAGGGCUAUUUCAUGGAAGUGCAUUAUUCUUUACUGAAACACAGUCACACAUCCAGGAACAGCAUCUCUACAGGUGACCUUCUUCAGGCCACAGUUACAGUCCUAUACAUGAGAAGGGAAUUUUUGAGCUGGUGAAGUUGUACUGGGUACAGCUCUAGAAUUACAAUCUGGCAGAAGGAAAAGGAAAACAAUAUUGAGAACCACUGAACUAGGUUAAUGGCAGUGAAGGCAGCUUGAAUACCUCUUUCCUUCUCAGUAGAGCAUGCUCACUGCAGUCCAGGGUUCCAAUAGCGUGUUGAAACUUGUGACAUAUUUUCCUCCUUCCACAGCUGCCUUUUUAGACAAGAUUUCCUGUUUUCACUGCUGAGAGCAACCCUGUACCCCAGUAUGGCAGAGCAUUGCAGCCCUAUAUGAGAAGUGAGUUUCUGAGUUGGUAAGGUUGAACUGGAUGCAGCUCUAAAAUUUCAAGCUGGCAGGAUAAAAAGAAAAACAAUAUGGAGAACAUUUUGGACAACAACAGCAGUACAUUCUGCGGUAUUUUAAACCAGUGGUUGACAAGUAGACAUGGAACAAUGAAGGCUCAAUUUCCAAAAGAAUGCUUCAUUAUGAUCUUCUGGAGCUUGCUUGUGUCUUCAAUAUUUUCCCUGUAUCCAGAAGACAAAUAAAUUUUCCAGCAAGUGAAUAGACAAUGAUAUGAAUAGAAUAGAAUGAUAUGAAACAAUAUUUUGAUCACUGCUUUCCUGUUGUUUUGAAUAUGUAGGAGAUUUUAAGUUUGAAUGUUGAUUUUACUUCAAAUUGAUCUGUUUCUGCUCUAUGUUUUGCUUGCUUAAGGCUUUUAUUGUUUCAAGUCUUGCAAGUAUAUGAAAUGUACCAGAAACAGAAAUUACAGGGGGUUGCUUAGACAAAAGGUCGCACCCUUAGCAAGUUAUUAUCUUCCUUUUAUUAUUGUUAUUCUAUGAUUCUAUGAUUGUUGGAACUGUGUGCUCUGUUGGAGAAAAAGCAUAGAUGAAACAUAGAAUAGUUUGGAUUGGGAGCAACCUUAAAGAUCAUCUAGUUCCAACCCCCCUGCCACGGGCAGGGACAUCCCACUAGGCCAGGCUGCCCAAGGCCCCAUCCAUCCUGGCCUUGAACACCUCCAGGAAUGGGGCAUCCAUGUCCUGGAGCAUGUCAUAGGGGAUCUGGCCUUGAACACUUCCAGGGGUGGGGCAUCCACCACCUGAAGCAUGUCAUAGGUGAUUGGUGACUCAGAACAGGCCAAUCUUAAAGAGGAACAUUUUGCAACCACAAGUUAACUGACGACAGAAGUGCCUGAGAGUAAACUAUCCUCAUUUAAAUGUCAUUAUAAUGCUAAAAAUCACACCCUCAGGCUAAGGGGCCCCAGGCAGGGGAAGAGCCCUAUUCAUGGCGCAUGUGUAUUUUUGUUAUGUAAUUAUGUAAUGGUA